GACGGUACCUUGAUAAGAAGCACCGGCUAACUACGUGCCAGCAGCCGCGGUAAUACGUAGGGUGCGAGCGUUAAUCGAAAUUACUGGGCGUAAAGCGUGCGCAGGCGGUUUUGUAAGUCGGAUGUGAAAUCCCCGGGCUCAACCUGGGAACUGCGUUCGAAACUGCUAGGCUAGAGUGUGUCAGAGGGGGGUGGAAUUCCACGUGUAGCA
This 210-nucleotide ribosomal RNA is filed under the name uncultured beta proteobacterium. Its description in RNAcentral is "partial 16S ribosomal RNA". It matches the Rfam family "Bacterial small subunit ribosomal RNA", at positions 471 to 680 of the family's 1533-position model. Lineage: Bacteria; Pseudomonadati; Pseudomonadota; Betaproteobacteria. The record is from RNAcentral.